This is a long non-coding RNA of Arabidopsis thaliana (thale cress), 1171 nucleotides long. RefSeq annotates it as other RNA. NCBI's taxonomy places the organism in Eukaryota, Viridiplantae, Streptophyta, Magnoliopsida, Brassicales, Brassicaceae. The transcript has a single exon. The record is from RefSeq.
GCGAUAUUUGUUACUUAUAUGAUAUAGUAAUUUUGUUCACACUUUUUUUUGCUAGAUACAAAGGUUAAUUAGAUUCUGUGAUACGAGAUUUAAAAGCAUAAUUCUCCUGAAUCUAAAGACCAUGGCCUAUAAAUUAACUGGAAAAUUAACCAUAAACUCAAAAACAACCUAAAACUUAUUUAAGAUGGGAAUCAUAAGUUUUACACCCAACAAUCUCUCUAAUCAAAUCGAUACGGAGACGACGGACGGACGGACUGGUGGGACCCUUACAAGUUGUAAAACUAGUUUGUGUUUGUGUUUUUUUUUUUGUUUCUUUUGUCCCGAGAAAAAAACAAACAAACAUAGAAAAGCGACGAGCGGGAGAGACCACGAAAGAAAUAAAAAUCAAUCACAUGGAGAAGAUACGAAAAUACGGAUAUGAUCCAAGAAGCUAAGAUGCUGAGGCCUAUCAUUGCGUUUCACAUAUCCACGCGCUUCGUUUUCCGUGUACGCGCCGAAUGAUCUUCCUCUAUUCCUCCUCCACAGCUCUUCCUCAUAACUCUUAUGAGCGUAAUACGCCUCCACCACGCACGACGACGGCGCCUCUGUUUCCAGAUCUCCUUCUUCUUCUUCUUCUUCCUCCGCCGCCGCGAGACGUAUCGGUUGCCGGAUGUAAUGACCGCGACUGAUUCCUUCGAGCUCGUCGAGACGAGAGAGACCGCGAGGAGAAACCGCGUAAAGCUCGCCGUUGACGUGAUAGCCCGAUCCAGGUUUGUUGAGGAGGAAAGGGACUCGGUAAGGUCCACAGACGAGAGGAUAUUUGUCUAGAGUUUGGUAAACACCUUUGAAAGAAGCGUCACCAGAUCGGAUCAGAUCUUGCAUCAGGACAUGAUUUGAGAAUCCUCUCUUUAGAGUUCCGUACGUGAACACGAGCGUUGUUGUUGCCGGCGUCAUUGUUUCGUGUCCCAUGAUUGAACAAGAGAAAUUAAACGUAGAGAUUAAUUUGGACGGAGAAAGAAGAAGAGAUCAAACGUAGAAUUGUUUUGUGUGGUUGGUGAAGAAAAAAUAGAAUCAGAAUCGGAAAAAGAGAAAGAGAGAGAGAGAGAUAAGAGAAAAUGGAAUCUCUGAUUUUUAGGGCUUUGAAUAUUUUGGGUUAAACCGAUGACGCGUUUAUAUAGCACUUGAUUUCCUC